RNAcentral lists this small RNA (1424 nucleotides) under Pongo abelii (Sumatran orangutan). RNAcentral's name for it is "processed transcript". The record is from RNAcentral. Lineage: Eukaryota; Metazoa; Chordata; Mammalia; Primates; Hominidae.
GUUGUUUGGAAGGCCUCAGGAGCUGCUCAGCUGGAAGGUAAUGACUGAAGUCAUCUGCAUGUUGGGUUCCAGUCCUACAAGAUUUCAGCAAUAAGGGCACACUCUGGGGCUUUGUGCCAUUUGUGGAUGAACAGCAACCAACUGAAAUACCAAUUCCAAUUACCCUUCAUAUUGGAGACUACAAUAUGGAUGGCUAUCCAGACGCUCUGGUCAUACUAAAGAACACAUCUGGAAGCAACCAGCAGGCCUUUUUACUGGAGAACGUCCCUUGUAAUAAUGCAAGCUGUGAAGAGGCGCAUCGAAUGUUUAAAGUCUACUGGGAGCUGACAGACCUAAAUCAAAUUAAGGAUGCCAUGGUUGCCACCUUCUUUGACAUUUACGAAGAUGGAAUCUUGGACAUUAUAGUGCUAAGUAAAGGAUAUACAAAGAAUGAUUUUGCCAUCCAUACACUAAAAAAUAACUUUGAAGCAGAUGCUUAUUUUGUUAAAGUUAUUGUUCUUAGUGGUCUGUGUUCUAAUGACUGUCCUCGUAAGAUAACACCCUUUGGAGUGAAUCAACCUGGACCUUAUAUCAUGUAUACAACUGUAGAUGCGAAUGGGUAUCUGAAAAAUGGAUCAGCUGGCCAACUCAGCCAAUCUGCACAUUUAGCUCUCCAACUACCAUACAACGUGCUUGGUUUAGGUCGGAGCGCAAAUUUUCUUGACCAUCUCUAUGUUGGUAUUCCUCGUCCAUCUGGAGAAAAAUCUAUACGAAAACAAGAGUGGACUGCAAUCAUUCCAAAUUCCCAGCUAAUUGUCAUUCCAUACCCUCACAAUGUCCCUCGAAGUUGGAGUGCCAAACUGUAUCUUACACCAAGUAACAUUGUUCUGCUUACUGCUAUAGCUCUCAUCGGUGUCUGUGUUUUCAUCUUGGCAAUAAUUGGCAUUUUACAUUGGCAGGAAAAGAAAGCAGAUGAUAGAGAAAAACGACAAGAAGCCCACCGGUUUCAUUUUGAUGCUAUGUGACUUGCCUUUAAUAUUACAUAAUGGAAUGGCUGUUCACUUGAUUAGUUGAAACACAAAUUCUGGCUUAAAAAAAAUAGGGGAGAUUAAAUAUUAUUUAUAAAUGAUGUAUUCCAUGGUAAUUAUUGGAAAGUAUUCAAAUAAAUAUGGUUUGAAUAUGUCACAAGGUCUUUUUUUUAAAGCACUUUGUAUAUAAAAAUUUGGGUUCUCUAUUCCGUAGUGCUGUACAUUUUUGUUCCUUUGUGGAAUGUGUUGCAUGUACUCCAGUGUUUGUGUAUUUAUAACCUUAUUAGUGUCAUGAUGAUGGAAAAAGAUAUGUGUAAAUAAAAAUAAUUAAAUGAGCAGGAAUUUUUGUGUCCACUUGACUUGGUCUUGCUUCUUAUUCUGAUGAUGCAAAUUAUACUUUUGUGAAUAUAUCACGGA